CCUACGGGUGGCAGCAGUGAGGAAUAUUGGUCAAUGGGCGAUAGCCUGAACCAGCCAAGUCGCGUGAAGGAUGACGGAUCUAUGGUUUGUAAACUUCUUUUAUAUGGGAGUAAAGUGAGGAACGUGUACCGUUUUGCAUGUACCAUAUGAAUAAGCAUCGGCUAACUCCGUGCCCGCAGCCGCGGUAAUACGGAGGAUCCGAGCGUUAUCAGGAUUUAUUGGGUUUAAAGGGAGCGUAGGUGGGUUAGUAAGUCAGCUGUGAAAGUUUGUGGCUCAACCAUAAAAUUGCCGUUGAUACUGGUUGACUUGAGUAUAGUAGAGGUAGGCGGAAUUCGUGGUGUAGCGGUGAAAUGCAUAGAUAUCACGAAGAACUCCGAUUGCGAAGGCAGCUUGCUGAACUAUAACUGACGCUGAUGCUCGAAAGCGUGGGGAUCAAACAGGAUUAGAUACCCUUGUAGUC
This 460-nucleotide ribosomal RNA is filed under the name uncultured bacterium. Its description in RNAcentral is "partial 16S ribosomal RNA". It matches the Rfam family "Bacterial small subunit ribosomal RNA", at positions 338 to 795 of the family's 1533-position model. The record is from RNAcentral.